UUCUUUCCCAUUCGUGAUCUCCUCAUCCCCUAAUAAUAAUAAUAAUAAUAGAAUUGAAUUAGAAUACUUUUAAAAAUACCAAUUCUUUAGCACCGAUUUGAUUCGGAGUUAAGGGGUGAAAUAAUUUCUUAACCCCGAAAUUAUUUUCAAACACUCAAUUUGUGGGGUGGGGUCCCUACUCCGCUACUCUAACCAAACAAAACACUAUUUUACCUACUAUCCUUUUUAUCUCAUCUACUCCAACCAAACACUAUUUUAUCUAUACCUCGACUAAACCCAAUUAUCAACAAAACACAAAAUUAUUCUAAUCCCACCUUAACCCUGAACUUAACCAUAUCAUGAAAUAACAAAUUUUUACUUAACUCCGAACCAAACUGUGGCUUAGUGCUUCUAAGUUUCUAACCCUUGGAUCUACUUCUUGAUUACUAAUAGUCUUUGGAUCAAACAAUAUUCUGUCUACCACCACUUGUCACCAUCAUCUCAACCUCACAUCUUUCCAUUCAAUGGCUAAAACACAAAAGCACCAUCUUUAUAGUGGUUUUGAGAGUAUUCCACCUCAACUCUAUAAUAAUAUAUAUAUAUAUAUAUAAGGGGCAAUUGCUUAUAUACUCAUGAAAAGUUUCCGACUUUCCAAUUUACCUCUCUUAGAAGGUUAAUAUUGAAAAUAUCCUUUCUACAUUCCAACUUAUUUCUAAUAUACCCCUAAAGUUAAAAUCUGUUAAUUACUUUGUUAUCUCUAUAAAAUUACUAUUUUGCCCUUUCAAAUAUACCUUUCUACAAUCACUGACUUUCUUAUUUGCCUUUAAAGUCAGGGGCACAAAAAAGUAUUUUGACUUUUGGUCUUUUUCAAUAUACCCCUUUAUCGUCACCAAUAUUUUUUAUUUGCCCUUAAGUUAAGGCCAAAAUUAGCAUUUUAAUUUUUUUUAACUGUGGUAGAUAUUUAACUCACGUUUAAUCAAAAUUAACUUAUCAGGAGGUAACUGCGGAGGUAUUUUGCAAUAACGGUGGAACAUAUGAAGGGUAUUUUAGAAAAAAAAAGGAAUAAAUCGAAUAUUUUUAAACGUAUGAGGAGUACACAGGCGAUUAUCCCUAUAUAUAAAAUUUAUUUUUGUGUGGCAUCGCUUUUGCCACUUUACUCAUGUACAAAAUUUCUAGGGCCAAGCUACCAAAUUUGAGCAGUUUAUUGAUAUAAACGUUUAUAGUAAUACGUCAAGUGUCACACAUUCGCAUCAUAGGAGAUCCGGCGAUUUUUUAACAAGCAAAAAAGAAGAAGCGAGCGUGAUAUACUCGGUAUUAUUCAUAAGUCACAACUAAGAUCUAGUCAAAUUAGUGAAAUCCUGGAGAUUGCUUAUACUAGGAUCCGGUACCGUUUGGUUCGGGUAUAAGCAAGAACUAGCUAUUAUAGAAAUAAGUAUAAGUAUGGGGAUAAGAAAAAUAGUAUUUGGAUGAAAAUUGGAUUGUUACUGGGAUAAGAACAAUUUUAGAUAGUUUUAUAUAGAAAAUAAAAGUGUUGGUGGGGACAACCGAGAACUAUUAUUCUCGGAUAAAAAAUUAGCGUUUGAAUAUAAAAGGAGGGAUAAGGAUCUAUUUCUAUUCCUAUUCUCUAACCAAAUGCUGCUGAGUCGGGAGUGACAAUCGUUGUUUAAUUGCCGUAGUUUGUUAUGUUACAUUUUGAAAAGUUGCAUCCUCAAACUUCUCACUCCUGAUUUUUUUUGAAUGGUAUUCAUAGGUUCACGUGGAGUCCUAAUUUUAAGAGCAUUCAAGUAACUUAAGGGAAAAAGAAAAAGAAAAAGAAAAUCUAUCGACUGUGUGUUGAUGUGCUGUAUAUUUUAUAAUACCAUAAGAGAAAUAAAAUUGUACUUACGUCAUACCAUUUGUUUUGAAAUGGCGUCUCAUUUUCAUGAAGAGUAUUUUCUUGAGUGCCUGUUUAGUUAAAACAGCAAACACACAUCAAAUGUGAUGAGGGAAAGCCUUCGAGAUAUUUGAGAGAAUAAUAAAAUGUGUUAUCACAAUUUCUAUAGAAAAGUCAUCUCAUAUUUUGACGCACACAAGGCUUUUUUUCGACGGUUAUAGAUUUGAGCCAUAGUUGGGGACUGAUGCUCUUUGUGGGGUGGGGUCCCUACUCCGCUACUCUAACCAAACAAAACACUAUUUUACCUACUAUCCUUUUUAUCUCAUCUACUCCAACCAAACACUAUUUUAUCUAUACCUCGACUAAACCCAAUUAUCAACAAAACACAAAAUUAUUCUAAUCCCACCUUAACCCUGAACUUAACCAUAUCAUGAAAUAACAAAUUUUUACUUAACUCCGAACCAAACUGUGGCUUAGUGCUUCUAAGUUUCUAACCCUUGGAUCUACUUCUUGAUUACUAAUAGUCUUUGGAUCAAACAAUAUUCUGUCUACCACCACUUGUCACCAUCAUCUCAACCUCACAUCUUUCCAUUCAAUGGCUAAAACACAAAAGCACCAUCUUUAUAGUGGUUUUGAGAGUAUUCCACCUCAACUCUAUAAUAAUAUAUAUAUAUAUAUAAGGGGCAAUUGCUUAUAUACUCAUGAAAAGUUUCCGACUUUCCAAUUUACCUCUCUUAGAAGGUUAAUAUUGAAAAUAUCCUUUCUACAUUCCAACUUAUUUCUAAUAUACCCCUAAAGUUAAAAUCUGUUAAUUACUUUGUUAUCUCUAUAAAAUUACUAUUUUGCCCUUUCAAAUAUACCUUUCUACAAUCACUGACUUUCUUAUUUGCCUUUAAAGUCAGGGGCACAAAAAAGUAUUUUGACUUUUGGUCUUUUUCAAUAUACCCCUUUAUCGUCACCAAUAUUUUUUAUUUGCCCUUAAGUUAAGGCCAAAAUUAGCAUUUUAAUUUUUUUUAACUGUGGUAGAUAUUUAACUCACGUUUAAUCAAAAUUAACUUAUCAGGAGGUAACUGCGGAGGUAUUUUGCAAUAACGGUGGAACAUAUGAAGGGUAUUUUAGAAAAAAAAAGGAAUAAAUCGAAUAUUUUUAAACGUAUGAGGAGUACACAGGCGAUUAUCCCUAUAUAUAAAAUUUAUUUUUGUGUGG
RNAcentral lists this long non-coding RNA (3058 nucleotides) under Ananas comosus (pineapple). RNAcentral describes it as "long non-coding RNA (ACOM_LNC008282)". Lineage: Eukaryota; Viridiplantae; Streptophyta; Magnoliopsida; Poales; Bromeliaceae. The record is from RNAcentral.